CCCUUAGAUGUUCUGGGCCGCACGCGUGCUACACUGAAGGAAUCAGCGUGGCUUUCUCCCUGACCCGAAAGGGUUGGGAAACCCGUUGAAUCUCCUUCGUGAUAGGGAUUGGGGCUUGAAAUUGUUCCCCAUGAACGAGGAAUUCCUAGUAAGCACAAGUCAUCAGCUUGUGUUGAUUACGUCCCUGCCCUUUGUACACACCGCCCGUCGCUCCUACCGAUUGAAUGUUCCGGUGAGCUCUUCGGACUGCGCGGUCUGCAGUUUCUGCGUUCCGUGCGGAAAGUUGCGCAAACCUUAACAUUUAGAGGAAGGAGAAGUCGUAACA
RNAcentral lists this ribosomal RNA (325 nucleotides) under uncultured eukaryote. Its description in RNAcentral is "partial 18S ribosomal RNA". It matches the Rfam family "Eukaryotic small subunit ribosomal RNA", at positions 1470 to 1796 of the family's 1831-position model. The record is from RNAcentral.